RNAcentral lists this long non-coding RNA (1283 nucleotides) under Heterocephalus glaber (naked mole-rat). RNAcentral describes it as "lncRNA (ENSHGLG00100034691.1)". The record is from RNAcentral. Lineage: Eukaryota; Metazoa; Chordata; Mammalia; Rodentia; Bathyergidae.
CAAAGUGAUCCACACAAUCCAAGCAUUUGUGGUAGUCAAGAGUGUGAGCUGAGAUACAUGGAAAUGGCCACCUGCUCAGAAAGAAGUCCUUCUCACUAGGCUUGAAAUGCCCAUCGGUCCUUUGGUCAUCCAGUUCUAACAUCAUGACACCAGAAGUUCCGUAUUGUACCAGUCAGGUACUCAAAUCCAAAGGGACUGACUAAAUGUAUUUGGAGGAAAUGGUAGGAAGCUUCAAGUCUUCCUUUCCCCAAAGACACCGAGUUAACACGGACCAGAACACCUCUGUGAGAACUCUAGAGACAUGUCGAGAAGCUACAGCAUGCCAUAUCAUUGUAAAACCCAAAAAGGAUUCUAAACAAAAAAGGAGGGAAAAUCUGCAGUAUUUGGCAAAGCCAUCCUGACUUUUCUUCUUUGUGGCAUAGUGCUAAGCAACUGGGAAAAAACCCUUACCCCAGGGCUCCAUCAUCCAGGAUGGAAACAAAAGAUUGGACCAUGGAUUCAGUGCUCUGGUUUAUCUGAUGGCCACCCAAGGGGCUAGCUGCUUUAUCACCUGACUGGGACAACAGCUAAGGAUACCAGGGGAAGAAUCUGGAAACAAAGGUGGAGCCUCCGAUUAGAGCUGCGGUUCCACAAGCAGACACCAGAGGGAACAAAAGAACAGGAAAGAUGGGAGCCAUCCUUGCUCCACUAGUACUGCUGUGAAGGUCUUCCCCUACAAGGAGCCAGACUGUGGAAGAGGUCCAACAGCAGACUGACCAGGAAGAAGAAAUAAUUGGCAGAAUUGAAGGCAGGUUAUUUGAAGUAAUCAAGUCAGAGGCACAAUACUCUGCCACCACCAGCACGGCCACACACGACCUGGACCACACACCCACUGGCACCUGACGAUGACUCGGGCUCUGCCACCAUGGAGGACAUGACCAAGUACAGCAACAGAGGAAUUCGCCCAGGGAUCCAGGAUCAUUGCAAGGAAAUCCCCAGCAGACAGCUGAUACUCAGAGUUGACAAAAAGAAUGAAGGAAGGAAUGAAGCCAUCUGCGGAAGGGCACGGAACUGCCGGGUAAUGGAAACUGGAACCGCAUGCCCAGCAGGCCCGGUGACCCACAGUAACAGGUGUUUGCACCUCUGAGGUCUGUGAGUCAUCCGCACAGCUGCGCGCGCACACAGCAUAAGCACUCACAGGCUCCUGGAAGACAACGCUGGAACACAAGCUGACGUGGGCACCGUGUUCUGGGCGCCCCGAGACACACCUCAGCAAGAACCUGGAUCCACAAAAAGGAGGCCCU